UACAGAGGGUGCAAGCGUUGUUCGGAAUUACUGGGCGUAAAGGGCGCGUAGGCGGCCUUCUAAGUCGAACGUGAAAUCCCCGGGCUCAACCCGGGAACUGCGUCCGAUACUGGAAGGCUUGAAUCUGGGAGAGGGAUGUGGAAUUCCAGGUGUAGCGGUGAAAUGCGUAGAUAUCUGGAGGAACACCGGUGGCGAAGGCGACAUCCUGGACCGGUAUUGACGCUGAGGCGCGAAAGCCAGGGGAGCAAACGGG
This 253-nucleotide ribosomal RNA is filed under the name uncultured bacterium. Its description in RNAcentral is "partial 16S ribosomal RNA". It matches the Rfam family "Bacterial small subunit ribosomal RNA", at positions 524 to 776 of the family's 1533-position model. The record is from RNAcentral.